RNAcentral lists this ribosomal RNA (468 nucleotides) under uncultured bacterium. Its description in RNAcentral is "partial 16S ribosomal RNA". It matches the Rfam family "Bacterial small subunit ribosomal RNA", at positions 28 to 507 of the family's 1533-position model. The record is from RNAcentral.
GACGAACGCUGGCGGCGUGCUUAACACAUGCAAGUCGAACGGAAAGGCCCUGCUUUUGUGGGGUUCUCGAGUGGCGAACGGGUGAGUAACACGUGAGUAACCUGCCCUUGACUUUGGGAUAACUUCAGGAAACUGGGGCUAAUACCGGAUAGGAGCUCCUGCUGCAUGGUGGGGGUGGGAAAGUUUCGGCGGUUGGGGAUGGACUGGCGGCUUAUCAGCUUGUUGGUGGGGUAGUGGCUGACCAAGGCUUUGACGGGUAGCCGGCCUGAGAGGGUGAGCGGCCACAUUGGGACUGAGAGACGGCACAGACUCCUAAGGGAGGCAGCAGUGGGGAAUAUUGCACAAUGGGCGGCAGCCUGAUGCAGCAACGCCGCGUGCGGGAUGACGGCCUUCGGGUUGUAAAACGCUUUCGCCUGUGACGAAGCGUGAGUGACGGUAAUGGGUAAAGAAGCACCGGCUAACUACGUG